This 468-nucleotide ribosomal RNA is filed under the name uncultured bacterium. RNAcentral describes it as "partial 16S ribosomal RNA". It matches the Rfam family "Bacterial small subunit ribosomal RNA", at positions 28 to 507 of the family's 1533-position model. The record is from RNAcentral.
GACGAACGCUGGCGGCGUGCUUAACACAUGCAAGUCGAACGGAAAGGCCCUGCUUUUGUGGGGUGCUCGAGUGGCGAACGGGUGAGUAACACGUGAGUAACCUGCCCUUUACUUUGGGAUAACUUCAGGAAACUGGGGCUAAUACCGGAUAGGAGCUCCUGCUGCAUGGUGGGGGUUGGGACGUUUCGGCGGUUGGGGAUGGACUCGCGGCUUAUCAGCUUGUUGGUGGGGUAGUGGCUUACCAAGGCUUUGACGGGUAGCCGGCCUGAGAGGGUGACCGGCCACAUUGGGACUGAGAGACGGACCAGACUCCUACGGGAGGCAGCAGUGGGGAAUAUUCCAGAAUGGGCGGAAGCCUGAUGCAGCAACGCUGCGUGCGUGAUGACGGCCUGCGGGUUGUAAACCGCUUUCGCCUGUGACGAAGCGUGAGUGACGGUAAUGGGUAAAGAAGCACCGGCUAACUACGUG